GUAGUCCACGCCGUAAACGAUGGAUACUAGCUGUUGGAGGUAUCGACCCCUUCAGUAGCGAAGCUAACGCGUUAAGUAUCCCGCCUGUGGAGUACGGUCGCAAGACUAAAACAUAAAGGAAUUGACGGGGGGCCGCACAAGCGGUGGAUCGUGUUCUUUAAUUCGAUGAUAAACGAAGAACCUUACCAGGGUUUGACAUCCUUGGAAUCUCUAUGAAAGUAGAGAGUGCUUUAUUGAGCCAAGUGACAGGUGAUGCAUGGCCGUCGUCAGCUCGUGUCGUGAGAUGUUAGGUUAAGUCCUUUAACGAGCGCAACCCUUGUGAUUAGUUGUAUUUUUCUAAUCAGACUGCCCCGGUAACGGGGAGGAAGGAGGGGAUGAUGUCAGGUCAGUAUUUCCCUUACACCCUGGGCUAGAAACACGAUACAAUGGUUAGUACAAUGCGCAGCGAAGCCGCGAGGUGAAGCAAAUCGCACCAAAGCUAAUCCCAGUUCGGAUAAGAGGCUGAAACUCGCCUCUUUGAAGUUGGAAUCGCUAGUAAUCGCAGAUCAGCAAGCUGCGGUGAAUACGUUCCCGGCCCUUGUACACACCGCCCGUCAAACCAUGAAAGUCACCAACACCCGAAGUCCGAUUCGUCGGCCUAAGGUGGGGGGGAUGAUUGGGGGUU
RNAcentral lists this ribosomal RNA (664 nucleotides) under uncultured bacterium. Its description in RNAcentral is "bacterial SSU rRNA". It matches the Rfam family "Bacterial small subunit ribosomal RNA", at positions 790 to 1483 of the family's 1533-position model. The record is from RNAcentral.